AGCCUAACACAUGCAAGUCGAACGGCAGCACAGGAGAGCUUGCUCUCUGGGUGGCGAGUGGCGGACGGGUGAGGAAUACAUCGGAAUCUACUUUUUCGUGGGGGAUAACGUAGGGAAACUUACUGCUAAUACCGCAUACGACCUACGGGUGAAAGCAGGGGAUCUUCGUGACCUUGCGCGAUUGAAUGAGCCGAUGUCGGAUUAGCUAGUUGGCGGGGUAAAGGGCCCACCAAGGCGACGAUCCGUA
RNAcentral lists this ribosomal RNA (247 nucleotides) under uncultured bacterium. RNAcentral describes it as "partial 16S ribosomal RNA". It matches the Rfam family "Bacterial small subunit ribosomal RNA", at positions 46 to 285 of the family's 1533-position model. The record is from RNAcentral.